Molecule: ribosomal RNA, 495 nt
Filed under: uncultured bacterium
Lineage: Bacteria
Description: partial 16S ribosomal RNA
Rfam family: Bacterial small subunit ribosomal RNA
Source: RNAcentral
GACGAACGCUGGCGGCGUGCCUAAUACAUGCAAGUAGAACGCUGAAGGAGGAGCUUGCUUCUCUGGACGAGUUGCGAACGGGUGAGUAACGCGUAGGUAACCUGCCUGGUAGCGGGGGAUAACUUUUGGAAACGAUAGCUAAUACCGCAUAAGAGUAGAUGUUGCAUGACAUUUACUGAAAAGUUUCAAUUGCAUCGCUACCAGAUGGACCUGCGUUGUAUUAGCUAGUGGGUGAGGUAACGGCUCACCAAGGCAACGAUACAGAGCCGACCUGAGAGGGGGAUCAGCCACACUGAGAGUGAGACACGGCCCAGAGUCCUAGGGGAGGCAGCAGUAGGGAAUCGUCGGCAAUGGGCGGAAGUCUGAGCGAGCAACGCCGCGGGAGUGAAGAGGGUUUUCGGAUCGUAGAGCUCUGUCGUAAGGGAAGAACGAGUGUGAGAGUGGAAAGUUCACACUGUGACGGUAACUUACCAGAAAGGGACGGCUAACUACGUG